CGCGGGGUGGAGAAGUGGUAUCUCGUCGGGCUCAUAACCCGAAGGUCGCAGGUUCAAAUCCUGCCCCCGCAACCA
This 75-nucleotide transfer RNA is filed under the name Sporosarcina globispora. RNAcentral's name for it is "tRNA-Met". It matches the Rfam family "tRNA". From Rfam's summary of the family: Transfer RNA (tRNA) molecules are approximately 80 nucleotides in length. Their secondary structure includes four short double-helical elements and three loops (D, anti-codon, and T loops). Further hydrogen bonds mediate the characteristic L-shaped molecular structure. tRNAs have two regions of fundamental functional importance: the anti-codon, which is responsible for specific mRNA codon recognition, and the 3' end, to which the tRNAs corresponding amino acid is attached (by aminoacyl-tRNA synthetases). tRNAs cope with the degeneracy of the genetic code in two manners: having more than one tRNA (with a specific anti-codon) for a particular amino acid; and 'wobble' base-pairing, i.e. permitting non-standard base-pairing at the 3rd anti-codon position. The record is from RNAcentral. RNAcentral also lists the same sequence under 16 other names. Lineage: Bacteria; Bacillati; Bacillota; Bacilli; Caryophanales; Caryophanaceae.